Molecule: long non-coding RNA, 4935 nt
Organism: Apus apus (common swift)
Lineage: Eukaryota; Metazoa; Chordata; Aves; Apodiformes; Apodidae
Exons: 6
Source: RefSeq, a predicted model, not a curated record
CCUACCUGCUUAAAUUGUGAAUGCUAAAUAGAUCACACCAGGAUAAAGCUGGUUCUCAAGUUUGUAUCAUUUGUAAUUUCUCUCUGUAGCUACAUACUAUGAUUGAUCAGCAUUAGAUUUUGACUGCAGGAGAUGAGAGCUGCAGUUCUUUUGACUUGUAAAAGGUAGUCACCCAGAUGUGGCUGUGAUUUAUGUGGAGAAAAAUAUCAGCAGAAGAACUUUAAAACACUAUUUAGAAAUGUGCAAAUGAAGGUGUUAAUGUAAAAAUAUUCCUUAACAGGAUUAUACACACUAUCAGCAAUUCCACUGUUAAAAUAUGUUGUCUACUUUUAUCCUAGUAUGUAAGCACAUGGACUUCCUGGGGUACACAAACCACGCAUGUCUUCAUUUGGUGGAGGUGGAAAGUCAGAGGUCGCUCUUGGGAAGGCAAGUCAGGCUGCAUCUAGGAAAGCACCUGAGGUUUAGGCACAUCAGGUGCUCCCAUGGUUGACUCGUACAAGCAUCAAAGACUCUUCCUUGCCUGAGGACUGAUGCUCUUCCAUCACCUUCUUUCAUGACACAUCCUGCACAGUACCUGCCACAGGUAUCAUGAAGGUAAAAUGCUUUUCUGCUAUGUAUAACGUGCUGUAAAACUGUACAGGUGGCAUGUCCUAAUUUCCCUAAUUUUCUUUCAUAUCUGCACUAUUACUUAUGUAAGGUAGCUUUUGUGCAGAAUACUGCAAUAAAUAAGAUUUUUAUACUGUCAUGCCUGCUUGAGAUCACAGGAAGGUCAGGCCCCAAAAGUUUAGAAUAUAGUUGGAUCUAACUUUGAUUGCUUCCAUUUUUUGAUACCAAAAGCCUGAUUUUUAAGAACUGUUGAAUCGCCUCAGCUUCUAUUGAUUUUGUUUCCAUUUCAGAGACACAGAAAAAUCAGACUCGGAAAAACUGGACACUCAAAAUUAGAGAGCUUUUGGGAUUUUUUAAGUGUCCUUGCAUAAAUAGCUCACUUCAAGUGAAUUUCUGGUAAGUGAGUAGGACUUAAGUCUUUCAACUUACUUCAUCAUACGCUAAUAAGCACCUAAUAGUGGCUUGUUUUGAGAAAGUCUUAACCUUUCUUUUUUUUUUUUUUUAUGAAGUCUUUGAAAGCCAAAUCCAGCUCAUUUUUCUAUUACAGACUGUUAAAGGAAGUGAAUAAUUUGUAAAACUCUGCUGAGAAAAAGAUUGGAAAUAAUACUAAAAAAAAGGUUAGAGGUCUUUUGUGUAAAAUAGUAACACAGCUUCUCUUUCUGUAGCAUUUUGGUCUCCUUUGCCACAAAAUAUAUCUGAAAUAAAAUGAGAUUCAGAGAAGUGGAACAAAGAGUUAUGGAGUAAAAAAGCAAUUUCCAUACAGGCAAAUUGGAGGUAGUAAGAUGUCUGAGUUUAAAAAGAAAGAGAAGCUUAAGAAAAGAUACGUAUUCAGUAUAUGCAGUUAGCAAUGUACUUGCAUUUCCCAAGCUUUAUGUUCAUCUCACUAGCUCAACUUUAGAAUCAGAUGAAUGUUAUUAAUGUUAAUUUUAGAACUUUUUAUUUUGGAUAUUUAAAGAUCCAUCUAGCACAACAUUAGAAUUAGAUUGUAUCCACUAAAUUAGGUGGCAAGCCACGAACGUUCACUGGUACGAGUUUCUUCUCCAGCACUAUAUUGAAUUUGUCUUUCAGUGUCUUCUCAACCUCUUCAUCUGUAAGAGUUGUGAUCUGCACCUGGUCCAUGUCUUCUGUGUAGGUGUACUUCAUCUCAGUGAGGGUCCAUCCAACUAAGGCAUAAAGCCCUUCAGUGGUUUGGAGAGUGCAGAUUGACUUCUUCUGAAGUAUGUUAUCUGGAGACACUUAUGAGAUGGGAGAGAUUACCUUGCAGUGACUGUUCUCAGCUUUGGCCCAGCUGCUCCCCUACGAGCCACCAGCAGUUCGACCUGAUGUCCGUGCCAGUGCUCAAGUGAAUGCUGGGAGCUCUUGCAGAUCCCACCUCUAAUACAUAAGUGGAGAUAACCCUGCCCCAGAAGGGCAAGGGCACUCAACUCUGGCACGAUGUCCUUGAAAACAUUGGUUGUAGAAAGCCAUUCCCUCCCAGACAGCACAUGUGUACACUGCAGCCCAGCUUUGUCCAGCAGUCGUGCCCAUUCGCAGGGGCAGCUUGGAGGGUGGCGAGAGUCGGACAUCAGUUCUGCCUGGCUGCGACCGUCCCGGGGGAUCCCUGAGUCCUUGCAUUGUCGGAGGGAACACUGCUGAAAUUCCUGAGAGGUUUCCAAGAUUGAACUUCCUGGUUAGGGAGCACUCAGCCGCCAAGAUUCGGGGUUGAAAAAAAAGGCUUACCUGGAAAACUGGCAGUGUACCUCCGGGGUUUGGGUGGGAAGGUUUUAGGCUAAAGCCAGUGGCGUGGCUGGCUGUCCUUUACCUAGUGCCGACAGCGCCUGGGGACUGUCCUCCAGCUCCUCUUCAGGGGAAUGCUUGUUCCCUCAACCUGCUUUCACCCGCCUCUGUCAGACUGCAAAAGCUGGGGGAAAGAAAAACAACAAACCAACCACCAGCAGAAGGGUGGAGCACAAGAGCUGUAGAGAGAGAGGAAAAUCAACAGCACUGACUCAACACGCAAGCAAACCCCGGUGGAUAUUAGAACAGAGGCUGCUUCACAUUUUCACUCAUUUUGUGCUUUCUGCAGAGCCUAGCUGGGGCUGUGACAAAAAAGGGUACUUUUUUUGUUUCAGUAACUAGCUGAAUGCACUCAUAUAUAUAUAUAUAUGUAUACACUAAUUAUUUUUUCCCCAGGUAUUAACUUACUAUUGUUUGGAAAUGUGGGGAAGAAAUCUUGCAUGCAUUCAACCCAAGGAGGUUUUUGCACUGUUUCUGAAAAGCAGCAAGAUUUUGGCACAACAGUUUGCACCUGCAAGCCCCUGCCUCAGUCAGCUUGUACAAGAACUUCAGCUUUUGCUUCAUUUGCACUGUAAGAUUGAUGUGCAUUUUUUAAUUACAGUAAAGUUCAUAGAAUGUAAGAGAGCACUGGGACAGCAGUGGGUCUUCUUUUGUUUUUGCCCACAAGCAGCAGCUGAGGAUUUCAUUAUAGUGAAGAUGCUACUGGCAAAGUGAUUACUAUGGAGAACGAACACAGAGAGCUCCAGCCUUUUGAUGUGUUUCUUACUGCUUUUGUAUCUACAGAAUUUGCUUGCAUUUGGCCCAUCUAAGUCUCAUUUAUACUCAUGUAUAUACAGCUGGAUUCUUUCCUUUUCAUUCCCCAACAGUAGUUCCAGUCCUUCACAUGUACUAUCAGUGGCAAGUUUCAUUCAAACACUGAUUUAUUGUAACAAUUAGCAGAAGUAACAAAUCAGACUAAACAGAGAUGUCUGUGGUAACUCCUUGCACAGCUCCACUCCCAUAUCAAAAUUUGGCUCUUUAUCAUCCCAUCAGUGGCCGGGGUUUGACCCUGCAAGCCAGAACUGAUGCCCCAGCCGAGGGGCACUGAAGGGAAUGGAUCACCUGCCCUUGUCGGGCACCUCUGGGCAGAUCCAAUUUGGUACAAAGAGAAAGUUCAUAAUCCUGGGUGGAUCUUGCUGCACAUGGAACAAUCCCUUCUCUUCCCACAGACUGAGAUUCCCUGAUUUUGAGAAAGAGAGGGUGAAAACAGAGGAGGCAGAUGUGCAGUCCUGGUAGGAACCAUGCCAAAAAGUAGCCCAUGGACUUGUUGCUUUGCCAUGUGUGAGAACACCUGGCUGUGCUCCUUGCCCAGAGACAUUUGGGACCACAGACUGUGCCAGAAGUGGACACUUGCCAUGCUCCCAUGGGCAAAUGUGAAGUGCUUGGGGAUCUGUCCCAGCUAACUCUGGGGUCCCAUUAGGACAGAAGUGUUUUCUAACCAAGUAGGAGCAAAACCCAUUUAUCCUGGCACUUCAAUACUCAGCUUUUCUCCACACCUCUCCCUGUAAUGUUGCUCUGAUAUUGAGCAUUUUCUUCCCAUGUUUUUCAGAGUCUCAUCCCAACUCACUAUUCCAUCCUGUCAUUCCCACAUCACUCUCCUUUUUCUUCCCAUCCUGUACAUUUUCCUCCUCAAGCCAUUAAAACCACAAGCUCUCAUUCUCCCCAGGCGUGCCCAAGGCCAUCAGAGGGCAAAGCUGACUCAAGGAGCACUAAGGGUAAGAAAGGGCUGACCUUGACCCAGGAAGUCUGUUUGCAUUUCACUCUGUGCCAGAUCACUGGGGCUAAUUUCAGGCUUGGUGAGGCAAUAAGCAGCAAUCACAGCUGCCAGGUAACACUGCCACAACGUGCCUGCACCCAUCCCCAAAAGCAGCAGAGGGCAAAGCCCAGCUCAGGCUGGCUGGGUUCCAGGGAGGUUGUCUGCAGGUGAAGGUGCAAAUGGGAAUGCCCUUGAGAAGGAUAUUGAUGUCCACCUGACACUAUAAUGCAGUUUUCCAACCUUGGCAGGAGCUGAAGUUGAUUGAACUUUUUUCCAGAAGAUGCUCAGUGUAAUUGCACUUGCUUUUGCUUAUUAAUAAAUUCUAAACUGCCAACAGCAUUUAUUUUAUUACUGAAAUCCUCUAUCAUCCCAACUCUCCUGAGAGGCUGCCUUAAAUAUCCCCAGACACACACUUUAAAAGACUAUUAUCUGCUGCAGUAUUUGCUUGGGGAAAUAAGCACAUAGGGUACCCUGUUUGGGGUAAUAGUCAAGUGUCAGCUCACUGCUCUAUAAUGACCUCUGGGAUGGGCUGUAUAACAAAGCAAGAUAUAUUAUUUUACAUUAAUCAUUAUAUUAAUAAUUAUAUUAUAUAAUAAUAUAAUAUAUAAUAAUAUGUUGUAUUAUACUGUAUUUUAUUAACUGGAUGCUUAACUUACAAACUAUAUGGUAUUCUAAUUAACUAUCUGGUUUUGGUGGGGAGGAGACAAGAGAGAUUUGAGAGACUUCUAAAGUAAUAAAACAAGGUGUUUUAAAUGGAA